Molecule: ribosomal RNA, 479 nt
Filed under: uncultured bacterium
Lineage: Bacteria
Description: partial 16S ribosomal RNA
Rfam family: Bacterial small subunit ribosomal RNA
Source: RNAcentral
AUGAACGCUAGCGGCAGGCCUAAUACAUGCAAGUCGGACGGGAUUCAGGAGCUUGCUUCUGAUGAGAGUGGCGCACGGGUGCGUAACACGUAUGUAACCUACCUUUAUCAGGGGGAUAGCCUCUCGAAAGAGAGAUUAAGCCCGCAUAAAAUCACAGCACAGCAUUGUGUAAUGAUCAAAUAUUUAUAGGAUAAAGAUGGGCAUGCGGAACAUUAGCUAGAUGGCGGGGUAACGGCCCACCAUGGCGACGAUGUUUAGGGGAUCUGAGAGGAUGGCCCCCCAAACUGGAACUGGAACACGAACCAGACUACUGCGGGAGGGAGCAAUAGGAAAAAUUGGGCAAAGGGCGGAAGCAGGAACCCGACAUGGCGGGUGGAGAAAGGCGGACCUAAGGGUUGUAAACUUCUUUUAUAAGGGAAUAAACCCGGAAGCGGGAAUCUGGCUUAGUGUACUAUAAGAAAAAGAGUUCGGAAACCCCG